RNAcentral lists this ribosomal RNA (253 nucleotides) under uncultured bacterium. RNAcentral describes it as "partial 16S ribosomal RNA". It matches the Rfam family "Bacterial small subunit ribosomal RNA", at positions 524 to 776 of the family's 1533-position model. The record is from RNAcentral.
UGCGUAGGGUGCGAGCGUUAAUCGGAAUUACUGGGCGUAAAGCGUGCGCAGGCGGUGAUGUAAGACCGAUGUGAAAUCCCCGGGCUUAACCUGGGAACUGCAUUGGUGACUGCAUCGCUCGAGUAUGGCAGAGGGGGGUAGAAUUCCACGUGUAGCAGUGAAAUGCGUAGAGAUGUGGAGGAAUACCGAUGGCGAAGGCAGCCCCCUGGGUCAAUACUGACGCUCAUGCACGAAAGCGUGGGGAGCAAACAGG